RNAcentral lists this ribosomal RNA (273 nucleotides) under uncultured bacterium. RNAcentral describes it as "partial 16S ribosomal RNA". It matches the Rfam family "Bacterial small subunit ribosomal RNA", at positions 85 to 354 of the family's 1533-position model. The record is from RNAcentral.
CCGCCGGCGACCGGCGCACGGGUGAGUAACACGUAUGCAACCUGGCCGUGACAGAUGGAUAACCGGGAGAAAUCCCGCCUAAUACAACAUAAUGCCGGGAGGGGACAUCCCCUGCCGGUCAAAGGGGGCGACCCCGGUCAUGGAUGGGCAUGCGGCGCAUUAGGUAGUUGGUGGGGCAACGGCCCACCAAGCCGACGAUGCGUAGGGGUUCUGAGAGGAAGGCCCCCCACAUUGGAACUGAGACACGGUCCAAACUCCUACGGAAGGCAGCAG